Bombus impatiens (common eastern bumble bee) is the source of this 2543-nucleotide long non-coding RNA. RefSeq lists it as uncharacterized. The transcript has 4 exons. NCBI's taxonomy places the organism in Eukaryota, Metazoa, Arthropoda, Insecta, Hymenoptera, Apidae. The record is from RefSeq and is a predicted model, not a curated record.
UUUAGAGACCGACAUUAGAUGUAUAAUAAUGUAAAUGUAUAAUAAGAGAAGAGGAACGAUAGCAUCUAUCAUGGACCAGUUAAAAAUUGUGUACCUCCUUACCUUUCCAGCCAUGUUUGUUUGCAAGAGGAUCGCCAGGAGACUGAUGCCUCAGGGUAAGAUUCGUCGUACUUUUAUACGCGUGAUGACUGUCAGUGUUUUCGUGUCAUCCGCCAACAAUAACCCGAGCUAUUCCUUGCACCCAAACACGAAUCGUGCACACCCGUCUUACACACGCAUACACACCGCCCCCACUUGAAUCUCUCCUUCUUUUAUUCGGGCUACCUAUUACUCUGUUUCUUUUACCAUCCGAUGACCUCCUCAUAAAUGUUGCGAUGUCCAUACGUACAACUACGAGUCGAUGAGUAUGCGCGCUUAUGUUUCUUCAUAUCGUCGCGGCGUAUACACGCGACCUGUAUGCCAAUAUGUCGAAGAUACAGAGCCACUUCGAGGUCGUGCGACGAAACCGCGAACGUAAACCGUGAACUCCGCUGUAACCCUCUUGACGAAAGGUGUACGCACUUCCAAAAGUUUACGAUAUUGCGCGAUCCUUAUCGAUUAGCAUUUACGUCGCGCCUGCGACACCUUUAGCCAAGCCUGCACGCGAGAGAAAAAAGGGUUUCUUAACGCUAGACGAGUGAAGUAUGAGACUUGUAUCGGUGAAAUUGAAACGAACGUGGAAAAUGUGUUGAUUGAAAGGGAAAGGGAAACCUUUAACCGUAUAUUUUACAAAGAUCAUCGAAAUUCCUGAAAAUAUACUGUUCGAAAUUUAGAAGAUUUCUAUGAAGAACGACGAGUUGGUCAUUUUUACCGUGUUCUGAUUCCAACGAUAAUACUUGCGUCGAAAGAAUGCUAUCUGUCCGUUCUGAUUCGAUCUUUGGUAGAAUUUUAAAUUAAAAAGCAAUUCUUAACGUAUGCAAUGGCAAACAGUACCGGCUAUCAUCGUAUUUGUCGUAGCAUCUACGUACCGACUAACUGGACCCAAGUAUAGUAUAUUAAAUCUCGAAUCAUUUGGCAGCACUUUGUGACGUGAUUACAAAAAUUUGAUACCGUGAGAACGAAAUGAAGAUGACCUAGUAAAAAAGGAAACAUUUCAUUGGGAAAUAAUUGUUGCAGCCGGUGUAUAUUGUUUGCGCUAAAUAGGUAGUAAGUGAAGAAUUUAGGUUAAAAAUGACCCUUGUUUCUGUUUAUCUUCGAUUAAUUCAAAUCAAGUAUCCGAUUGAUUUCUUUUCUAUAGUAAAAUGAAUCGAUAACGCUAUGAUAACAGCUAGCACCAAUACAUUAAUACAUUAAUGUGGUCGGAACAUGUGUCAAUCGAAUUCGUUUUAAAUUUGACACACGAUCGCCGAAUUUUAAGUGCAAACGAAGUGUGAGCGGCCAUAUAAUUUGUAUGCUGAUACAUCGAAGAAAGUCAUUCGAGGUUAUUCGACGAAAUUACGAAAGGAUCGGACACCGGAGAAACCUUUCGUUCGAAUCGAAGAAUAGAAGGAACAGAUGAUUCAUAUAUGCCGACAUACACGAGAUGCUUUCGGGAAAUUUUGCCUAUGCCUCCUUAAAUCUGUGUAAAAAGAGGUUAUCUGUGCGAAGAGACAAUGGAUAAUCGAACUUUCUUUCGUAACAAAACAUUGUGAAAGAAUUACAACAGUUGCUUGUAGUCGAUUCGUUCUUUAUUGUUAGAUCCCUUAUUUAUUAUGUACCACACGUAUAAAUCGCAAUAAUUUAUAUUCAUUUUCGAUAUAUAUAUAUCGCCCAUUUGUAAUAUGAUAUCUUUUAUCUAUAACAUAUAUUUUACAGGAAAAUUAAAGAAUCAUUCGUUUCUGGUUGAAAGAAUAACUUUAUUCUGCUGUAAUACGAUCUUUAAAGUGCUACAGUAUAGAAAAGAAAGAUCGCAAAAUAAUCUGCGUGGACUUGCUUCAAAGCGUGAUACUUCUACUUUCUGAUCAUCAAAUUUUAUUUCCUCGUGGAUGCCUCUAUAUUCGCAAAAAGAGGUAAAAGUGAGAAUGAUUUUUGCCGCAAAAAUGUAUGUUUUGAACUAUUUCACUUUUCAUUCAAAGUGCCAUAAAACGGUUUUUGGUUUUGGUACGAAUCGCGAAAAAAUUUCUUAAAUUUCACAGGCUUGUUCGAAUUUGUAGAAUUUUCGGAAUAAAAAAUAAUUUUCACUUUCCCGCCCCGCUUCUAAGCAUAAAAGCGUCUUCGAGAAAAAUUAAUUUAGAGUUGAGAAAGUAGAGACUUUGCCAACUGAAAUGAGCCCACGCUAAUAGUUGUACAAUCCGUCAUCAGGAAAUUACAGUACUUCAAAAAUUGAUAACAUUUUAAUUCAGAAUUGAUGAUCGUUUAACUUUCCCGCAAAGAUUUAAGUAAUAAACAACAAAUAAAAGAAAUAGGUAAAAGACCCAUUUUAUAAUUUCAGAAAACGAGGAUUUUCUAAUUUACAAUAUUUUACACAAAAAUAUUUAUUUAAAUAGUCGUAUGGAAAUAUAAUUUAUUGAUUGAUAUCGAUGCAA